AAAUAGAUACCCGGGUAGUCCACCCCGUAAACGUUAGGAACUAGUUGUGGGGUCCUUUCCACGGAUUCCGUGACGCAGCUAACGCAUUAAGUUCCCCGCCUGGGGAGUACGGCCGCAAGGCUAAAACUCAAAAGGAAUUGACGGGGACCCGCACAAGCGGCGGAGCAUGCGGAUUAAUUCGAUGCAACGCGAAGAACCUUACCAAGGCUUGACAUACACGAGAACAUCCCGGAAAUGGGGGACUCUUUGGACACUCGUGAACAGGUGGUGCAUGGUUGUCGUCAGCUCGUGUCGUGAGAUGUUGGGUUAAGUCCCGCAACGAGCGCAACCCUCGUUCUAUGUUACCAGCACGUAAUGGUGGGAACUCAUGGGAUACUGCCGGGGUCAACUCGGAGGAAGGUGGGGAUGACGUCAAAUCAUCAUGCCCCUUAUGUCUUGGGCUUCACGCAUGCUACAAUGGCCGGUACAAAGGGCUGCAAUACCGUGAGGUGGAGCGAAUCCCAAAAGCCGGUCCAGUUCGGAUUGAGGUCUGCAACUCGACCUCAUG
This 547-nucleotide ribosomal RNA is filed under the name uncultured bacterium. RNAcentral's name for it is "bacterial SSU rRNA". It matches the Rfam family "Bacterial small subunit ribosomal RNA", at positions 776 to 1322 of the family's 1533-position model. The record is from RNAcentral.